UAAGGAAUAUUGGACAAUGGUCGCAAGACUGAUCCAGCCAUGCCGCGUGCAGGAAGACGGCCCUAUGGGUUGUAAACUGCUUUUGUACCAGAGAAAACCUAUCUACGUGUAGAUAGCUGAUAGUAUGGUAAGAAUAAGCAUCGGCUAACUUCGUGCCAGCAGCCGCGGUAAGACGAAGGAUGCAAGCGUUAUCCGGAUUCAUUGGGUUUAAAGGGCGCGUAGGCGGGCUUGUAAGUCAGUGGUGAAAUCUCUCAGCUUAACUGAGAAACUGCCAUUGAUACUGCAGGCCUAGAGUAUAGAUGACGUUGGCGGAAUAUGACAUGUAGUGGUGGAAUACUUAGAUAUGUCAUAGAACACCGAUUGCGAAGGCAGCUAACGAAACUAUAACUGACGCUGAGGCACGAAAGUGCGGGGAUCAAAC
RNAcentral lists this ribosomal RNA (421 nucleotides) under uncultured bacterium. RNAcentral describes it as "bacterial SSU rRNA". It matches the Rfam family "Bacterial small subunit ribosomal RNA", at positions 355 to 773 of the family's 1533-position model. The record is from RNAcentral.